GUUUUAACCAGACAGAUCAUUUUACAAACUUAUUUUUAUUCUCCCAAAACUUCAUACUUUUCAAAACGUUUCAAAACUUCAAGUCUCAAACCUUUACCAAAACUCUUUAAAUCUACCUCUUAAAUAAAUUUCGGGACGAAAUUUCCUAAAGGAGGGGAGACUGUAACGCCUCACGUUUUGAAACUUACUUUAAUUAGAAGGAUUAUUUAUGUACCUAUUUUGGGAGCUUACGUCCGUAUCGAAUUCGUAUUUCGCUUCUGUUUUCGUUAUUCGAAACUUUGUUCGUAAUAAAAUUUAAUAUUAUGUACAAAAUUAUACCUUGUAUAAUUAUUUAUACCUGUACAUUUAAAUCCGUCUAUACACUCGUCACCUAAAAUUAUUCGAUGUACUUACCUCUUGUAAAGAAAUGUGCUUAAUUUACGCACACAAUCGCGAAUACGUGAAUCCAUACGCUUCUUUCGUGCAAACGCUUGAUUCUACGUCCGCAACACAUGACCCAUACUUUAUUCUUAUACCAACUUAUUUCUUUUAAAUUUAAACAUUAACAUAUAUAUAUAAAGCUAAAUCAAAUAUUUGAUCUCAUAUAAAUGUUACCUAUAUAAAUAUUACAUAUUGCCACUAAUCAAAUGAGGGGAUUGAUAAAAAAAAAAAAAGGAAAUUGAAUAGAUACUUGUUGAUGGCCGAAACCAAUCAACAGCCCAUUUUAUUACAAAGACCACCAUUUCCUAAGCCAUGAGGACUAAGUGGCAACAACAACAAAAUAAAGAAUUUCCAUGGCUAUUAAACAGCUAUACUGAUCGCAGCCCAUGUGCUGUUAUAUUUGUCCAUUUUUUUUAAUAUAAGUAAUAUUAUAAUACAUUCAAUGCUCCACUAAUAUGUAUAAAUAUAUGUCAAAAAAAAAAAACGAAAAGGUAGACAGGACUACCGGCCGCAAGUAUCAAGCAACAACAAUUUGUUUUUUUUGUUUACUUCCACACCCCAACUAAUUAUUAAAUGCCAAUCCAUUUAAACCUACCUAUAAAUACUCUUUAUAACUUUC
This 1039-nucleotide long non-coding RNA is filed under the name Helianthus annuus (common sunflower). Its description in RNAcentral is "hypothetical non coding rna". Lineage: Eukaryota; Viridiplantae; Streptophyta; Magnoliopsida; Asterales; Asteraceae. The record is from RNAcentral.